GUCUACGGCCAUACCACCCUGAACUCGCCCGAUCUCGUCUGAUCUCAGAAGCUAAGCAGGGUCGGGCCUGGUUAGUACUUGGAUGGGAGACCAUAAUGAGUAUUGUUAUGGCUUGGAUA
RNAcentral lists this ribosomal RNA (119 nucleotides) under Urocitellus parryii (Arctic ground squirrel). The record is from RNAcentral. Lineage: Eukaryota; Metazoa; Chordata; Mammalia; Rodentia; Sciuridae.